Pelobates cultripes (western spadefoot toad) is the source of this 74-nucleotide non-coding RNA. The record is from the annotation of a GenBank genome assembly. Lineage: Eukaryota; Metazoa; Chordata; Amphibia; Anura; Pelobatidae.
CUGCCCUCUUUCUGCUCAGCGACCCGCAAUAAUGCCAGUAGCGCGCGAGGGAGCUGAGCAGAGAGAGCACAGGU